GGAUUAUAGUUUAUUUUAAAACAUUUGAUUUGCAUUCAAAAAACAUUAUAUUAAAUAAUUUAUCUUA
Molecule: transfer RNA, 67 nt
Filed under: Helcystogramma macroscopa
Lineage: Eukaryota; Metazoa; Arthropoda; Insecta; Lepidoptera; Gelechiidae
Description: tRNA-Ala
Source: RNAcentral